CCUACGGGAGGCAGCAGUGAGGAAUAUUGGUCAAUGGACGAGAGUCUGAACCAGCCAAGUAGCGUGAAGGAUGACUGCCCUAUGGGUUGUAAACUUCUUUUAUAUGGGAAUAAAACAGGGUAUGCAUACCCUCUUGUAUGUACCAUAUGAAUAAGGAUCGACUAACUCCGUGACAGCAGCCGCGGUAAUCCGGAGGAUCCGAGCGUUAUCCGGAUUGAUUGGGUUUAAGGGGAGCGUAGGUGGAUUGUUAAGUAAGUUGUGAAAGUUUGCGGCUCAACCGUAAAAUUGCAGUUGAAACUGGCAGUCUUGAGUACAGUAGAGGUGGGCGGAAUUCGUGGUGUAGCGGUGAAAUGCUUAGAUAUCACGAAGAACUCCGAUUGCGAAGGCAGCUCACUGGACUGCAACUGACACUGAUGCUCGAAAGUGUGGGUAUCAAACAGGAUUAGAGACCCUUGUAGUC
Molecule: ribosomal RNA, 460 nt
Filed under: uncultured bacterium
Lineage: Bacteria
Description: partial 16S ribosomal RNA
Rfam family: Bacterial small subunit ribosomal RNA
Source: RNAcentral